GACGAACGCUGUCGGCGUGCUUAACACAUGCAAGUCGAACGGAAAGGCCCUGCUUUUGUGGGGUGCUCGAGUGGCGAACGGGUGAGUAACACGUGAGUAACCUGCCCUUGACUUUGGGAUAACUUCAGGAAACUGGGGCUAAUACCGGAUAGGAGCUCCUGCUGCAUGGUGGGGGUUGGAAAGUUUCGGCGGUUGGGGAUGGACUCGCGGCUUAUCAGCUUGUUGGUGGGGUAGUGGCUUACCAGGGCUUUGACGGGUAGCCGGCCUGAGAGGGUGACCGGCCACAUUGGGACUGAGAUACGGCCCAGACUCCUACGGGAGGCAGCAGUGGGGAAUAUUGCACAAUGGGCGGAAGCCUGAUGCAGCAACGCCGCGUGCGGGAUGACGGCCUUCGGGCUGUAAACCGCUUUCGCCUGUGACGAAGCGUGAGUGACGGUAAUGGGUAAAGAAGCACCGGCCAACUACGUGCCAGCAGCCGCGGUGAUACGUAGGGUGCGAGCGUUGUCCGGAUUUAUUGGGCGUAAAGGGCUCGUAGGUGGUUGAUCGCGUCGGAAGUGUAAUCUUGGGGCUUAACCCUGAGCGUGCUUUCGAUACGGGUUGACUUGAGGAAGGUAGGGGAGAAUGGAAUUCCUGGUGGAGCGGUGGAAUGCGCAGAUAUCAGGAGGAACACCAGUGGCGAAGGCGGUUCUCUGGGCCUUUCCUGACGCUGAGGAGCGAAAGCGUGGGGAGCGAACAGGCUUAGAUACCCUGGUAGUCCACGCUGUAAACGGUGGGUACUAGGUGUGGGGUCCAUUUCACGGGUUCCGUGCCGUAGCUAACGCUUUAAGUACCCCGCCUGGGGAGUACGGCCGCAAGGCUAAAACUCAAAGGAAUUGACGGGGCCCCGCACAAGCGGCGGAGCAUGCGGAUUAAUUCGAUGCAACGCGUAGAACCUUACCUGGGUUUGACAUGGAUCGGGAGUGCUCAGAGAUGGGUGUGCCUCUUUUGGGGUCGGUUCACAGGUGGUGCAUGCCUGUCGUCAGCUCGUGUCGUGAGAUGUUGGGUUAAGUCCCGCAACGAGCGCAACCCUUGUUCACUGUUGCCAGCACGUUAUGGUGGGGACUCAGUGGAGACCGCCGGGGUCAACUCGGAGGAAGGUGGGGAUGACGUCAAGUCAUCAUGCCCCUUAUGUCCAGGGCUUCACGCAUGCUACAAUGGCUGGUACAGAGAGUGGCGAGCCUGUGAGGGUGAGCGAAUCUCGGAAAGCCGGUCUCAGUUCGGAUUGGGGUCUGCAACUCGACCUCAUGAAGUCGGAGUCGCUAGUAAUCGCAGAUCAGCAACGCUGCGGUGAAUACGUUCCCGGGGCU
RNAcentral lists this ribosomal RNA (1346 nucleotides) under uncultured bacterium. RNAcentral's name for it is "partial 16S ribosomal RNA". It matches the Rfam family "Bacterial small subunit ribosomal RNA", at positions 28 to 1381 of the family's 1533-position model. The record is from RNAcentral.